AGUGAACGCUGGCGGCAGGCCUAACACAUGCAAGUCGAACGGCAGCACAGUAAGAGCUUGCUCUUACGGUUGGCGAGUGGCGGACGGGUGAGGAAUACAUCGGAAUCUACUUUUUCGUGGGGGAUAACGUAGGGAAACUUACGCUAAUACCGCAUACGACCUACGGGUGAAAGCAGUGGAUCUUCGGACCUUGCGCGAUUGAAUGAGCCGAUGUCGGAUUAGCUAGUUGGCGGGGUAAAGGCCCACCAAGGCGAUGAUCCGUAGCUGGUCUGAGAGGAUGAGCCGCCACAGUGGAGAGGCGCCACCGUGACGACUACUACGGGAAGCAGCAGUGGAGCAUCCUGGACAAUGGGAGCAAUGAUGGUGCAGCCAUACCGCGGGGGUGAAGGAGUCCUGCGGGUUGUAAAGUCCUUUUGUUGGGAAAGAAAAGCAGCAGGUUAAAAGCCCGCUGUGACGGCGGUAACCAAAGAAUCAGCAGCUACUAACUUC
This 489-nucleotide ribosomal RNA is filed under the name uncultured bacterium. RNAcentral describes it as "partial 16S ribosomal RNA". It matches the Rfam family "Bacterial small subunit ribosomal RNA", at positions 29 to 504 of the family's 1533-position model. The record is from RNAcentral.